GAUGAACGCUGGCGGCGUGCUUAACACAUGCAAGUCGAACGAGAAAUGUAGACGGAAACCUUCGGGCGGAAGCCUUCAUUUCGAGUGGCGGACGGGUGAGUAACGCGUGGGUAACCUGCCUCAUACAGGGGGAUAACAGUUGGAAACGACUGUUAAUACCGCAUAAGACCACAGCAUCGCAUGAUGCGGGGGUAAAAACUCCGGUGGUAUGAGAUGGACCCGCGUUCGAUUAGCCAGUUGGCGGGGUAACGGCCCACCAAAGCGACGAUCGAUAGCCGAUCUGAGAGGAUGACCGGCCACAUUGGGACUGAGACACGGCCCAAACUCCUACGGGAGGCAGCAGUGGGGAAUAUUGCACAAUGGGGGAAACCCUGAUGCAGCGACGCCGCGUGAGUGAAGAAGUACUUCGGUAUGUAAAGCUCUAUCAGCAGGGAAGGAAAUGACGGUACCUGAGUAAGAAGCCCCGGCUAACUACGUG
RNAcentral lists this ribosomal RNA (478 nucleotides) under uncultured bacterium. RNAcentral's name for it is "partial 16S ribosomal RNA". It matches the Rfam family "Bacterial small subunit ribosomal RNA", at positions 28 to 507 of the family's 1533-position model. The record is from RNAcentral.